RNAcentral lists this ribosomal RNA (1419 nucleotides) under Enterococcus durans. RNAcentral describes it as "bacterial SSU rRNA". It matches the Rfam family "Bacterial small subunit ribosomal RNA". Lineage: Bacteria; Bacillati; Bacillota; Bacilli; Lactobacillales; Enterococcaceae. The record is from RNAcentral.
GUACGCUUCUUUUUCCACCGGAGCUUGCUCCACCGGAAAAAGAAGAGUGGCGAACGGGUGAGUAACACGUGGGUAACCUGCCCAUCAGAAGGGGAUAACACUUGGAAACAGGUGCUAAUACCGUAUAACAAUCGAAACCGCAUGGUUUUGAUUUGAAAGGCGCUUUCGGGUGUCGCUGAUGGAUGGACCCGCGGUGCAUUAGCUAGUUGGUGAGGUAACGGCUCACCAAGGCCACGAUGCAUAGCCGACCUGAGAGGGUGAUCGGCCACAUUGGGACUGAGACACGGCCCAAACUCCUACGGGAGGCAGCAGUAGGGAAUCUUCGGCAAUGGACGAAAGUCUGACCGAGCAACGCCGCGUGAGUGAAGAAGGUUUUCGGAUCGUAAAACUCUGUUGUUAGAGAAGAACAAGGAUGAGAGUAACUGUUCAUCCCUUGACGGUAUCUAACCAGAAAGCCACGGCUAACUACGUGCCAGCAGCCGCGGUAAUACGUAGGUGGCAAGCGUUGUCCGGAUUUAUUGGGCGUAAAGCGAGCGCAGGCGGUUUCUUAAGUCUGAUGUGAAAGCCCCCGGCUCAACCGGGGAGGGUCAUUGGAAACUGGGAGACUUGAGUGCAGAAGAGGAGAGUGGAAUUCCAUGUGUAGCGGUGAAAUGCGUAGAUAUAUGGAGGAACACCAGUGGCGAAGGCGGCUCUCUGGUCUGUAACUGACGCUGAGGCUCGAAAGCGUGGGGAGCAAACAGGAUUAGAUACCCUGGUAGUCCACGCCGUAAACGAUGAGUGCUAAGUGUUGGAGGGUUUCCGCCCUUCAGUGCUGCAGCUAACGCAUUAAGCACUCCGCCUGGGGAGUACGACCGCAAGGUUGAAACUCAAAGGAAUUGACGGGGGCCCGCACAAGCGGUGGAGCAUGUGGUUUAAUUCGAAGCAACGCGAAGAACCUUACCAGGUCUUGACAUCCUUUGACCACUCUAGAGAUAGAGCUUCCCCUUCGGGGGCAAAGUGACAGGUGGUGCAUGGUUGUCGUCAGCUCGUGUCGUGAGAUGUUGGGUUAAGUCCCGCAACGAGCGCAACCCUUAUUGUUAGUUGCCAUCAUUUAGUUGGGCACUCUAGCAAGACUGCCGGUGACAAACCGGAGGAAGGUGGGGAUGACGUCAAAUCAUCAUGCCCCUUAUGACCUGGGCUACACACGUGCUACAAUGGGAAGUACAACGAGUCGCGAAGUCGCGAGGCUAAGCUAAUCUCUUAAAGCUUCUCUCAGUUCGGAUUGUAGGCUGCAACUCGCCUACAUGAAGCCGGAAUCGCUAGUAAUCGCGGAUCAGCACGCCGCGGUGAAUACGUUCCCGGGCCUUGUACACACCGCCCGUCACACCACGAGAGUUUGUAACACCCGAAGUCGGUGAGGUAACCUUUUGAGCCAGCCGC